RNAcentral lists this ribosomal RNA (460 nucleotides) under uncultured bacterium. RNAcentral's name for it is "partial 16S ribosomal RNA". It matches the Rfam family "Bacterial small subunit ribosomal RNA", at positions 338 to 795 of the family's 1533-position model. The record is from RNAcentral.
GCUACGGGAGGCAGCAGGGAGGAAUAUUGGUCAAUGGACGAGAGUCUGAACCAGCCAAGUAGCGUGAAGGAUGACUGCCCUAUGGGUUGUAAACUUCUUUUAUAAAGGAAUAAAACGAGGCACGUGUGCCUUUUUGCAUGUACUUUAUGAAUAAGGAUCGGCUAACUCCGUGCCAGCAGCCGCGGUAAUACGGAGGAUCCGAGCGUUAUCCGGAUUUAUUGGGUUUAAAGGGAGCGUAGAUGGGUUGUUAAGUCAGUUGUGAAAGUUUUCGGCUCAACCGUAAAAUUGCAAUUGAUACUGGCAGUCUUGAGUACAGUUGAGGUAGGCGGAAUUCGUGGUGUAGCGGUAAAAUGCUUAGAUAUCACGAAGAACCCCGAUUGCGAAGGCAGCUUACUAAACUGUGACUGACAUUGAUGCUCGAAAGUGUGGGUAUCAAACAGGAUUGGAUACCCGGGUAGGC